This 72-nucleotide transfer RNA is filed under the name Heterocephalus glaber (naked mole-rat). It matches the Rfam family "tRNA". Rfam says of the family: Transfer RNA (tRNA) molecules are approximately 80 nucleotides in length. Their secondary structure includes four short double-helical elements and three loops (D, anti-codon, and T loops). Lineage: Eukaryota; Metazoa; Chordata; Mammalia; Rodentia; Bathyergidae. The record is from Rfam by way of RNAcentral.
GGAGAUGUAGUGUAUUGGUAGAACACUUGCCUAGCAUGGACAAGGCCCUGGGUUCAACUCCCAGCAGCCCCC